AAAGCCCAAAGAGAGCUCUCCGA
RNAcentral lists this small nuclear RNA (23 nucleotides) under Arabidopsis thaliana (thale cress). RNAcentral describes it as "snRNA_17621". The record is from RNAcentral. Lineage: Eukaryota; Viridiplantae; Streptophyta; Magnoliopsida; Brassicales; Brassicaceae.